AUGACAUUACCGAGGAGUAUUCUUUAUUGGAGAGACCAAGACUGCCGAGAAAGAAAGAAGCCGAUCUGCCCCCCUGGGACUUGCGGCCACAGCUGGAGAGGGCGUCUCCCCCUUAUCGACGGGGUUUGGUGCCGGUGCUCGGUGCACCGUCUUGGCCGUGCUGGGCGGCGAGUCAGCGACAGGCUUGGAUCCGAUCUGAAGUUGGUGGCAUCACCAUGCUUGUCCUCCUUUGUUAGCUGGUCUGCGGGCUUCCUCCGGACGUCCUGCUCGGCUGGUUGGCAGAGCAAUGGCGAUGCAAGCUCUGGGUCGGGGGAAACCCUUAACCGGUGGUGCCGGUCACGAUGUUGGCGGCGCUUGCGGCGCCGUUCUCCCUCUGGUGGGCGACAUCGAGACCCUCUCCUCGCCUUCCACCCCAUGGUCCCGGGCGAAAGCCUAAAAUCUCUUGAUUGGGCGGCGACAGCGCGUCGACAUCGUUUUCUUCUUGAAGACGCUGCCUUGGGAGUCCAGGAUGGCCAGGGGCUCGGAGCGGUGGUGGUUUGCCUGUUCUUCUAA
This 552-nucleotide ribosomal RNA is filed under the name Triticum aestivum (bread wheat). RNAcentral describes it as "partial small subunit ribosomal RNA". Lineage: Eukaryota; Viridiplantae; Streptophyta; Magnoliopsida; Poales; Poaceae. The record is from RNAcentral.